CGCGAGAGAAACUGGCAAGCUGGAAUCUUGGAGGGGGUACUGGAAUUCCUGGUGUAGGGGUGAAAUCUGUUGAUAUCAGGAAGAACACCGGAGGCGAAGGCGAGUACCUGGCCAAAGAUUGACGCUGAUGAGCGAAAGCGUAGGGAGCGAACAGGAUUAGAUACCCUGGUAGUCUACGCCGUAAACGAUGUGCACUUGGUGGUGGUCCCGUUCGGGAUCGCUGCCGGAGCUAACGCAUUAAGUGCACCGCCUGGGGAGUACGCCGGCAACGGUUAAACUCAAAGGAAUU
RNAcentral lists this ribosomal RNA (289 nucleotides) under uncultured organism. RNAcentral describes it as "partial 16S ribosomal RNA". It matches the Rfam family "Bacterial small subunit ribosomal RNA", at positions 622 to 911 of the family's 1533-position model. The record is from RNAcentral.